This 279-nucleotide ribosomal RNA is filed under the name uncultured bacterium. RNAcentral's name for it is "partial 16S ribosomal RNA". It matches the Rfam family "Bacterial small subunit ribosomal RNA", at positions 506 to 784 of the family's 1533-position model. The record is from RNAcentral.
UGCCAGCCGCCGCGGUAAUACGAAGGGUGCUAGCGUUAAUCGGAAUUACUGGGCGUAAAGCGCGCGUAGGCGGAUUGUUAAGUCUCAUGUGAAAGCCCGGGGCUCAACCUCGGAAUAGCAUUUGAAACUGUCGGACUAGAGUACUGUAGAGGGGGGUAGAAUUUCAGGUGUAGCGGUGAAAUGCGUAGAGAUCUGAAGGAAUACCAGUGGCGAAGGCGGCCCCCUGGACAGAUACUGACACUCAGAUGCGAAAGCGUGGGGAGCAAACAGGAUUAGAUA